RNAcentral lists this ribosomal RNA (274 nucleotides) under uncultured bacterium. RNAcentral describes it as "partial 16S ribosomal RNA". It matches the Rfam family "Bacterial small subunit ribosomal RNA", at positions 523 to 796 of the family's 1533-position model. The record is from RNAcentral.
AUACGAAAGGUGCAAGCGUUGUUCGGAUUUACUGGGCGUAAAGAGAGUGUAGGUUGUUUAUUAAGUCGGAUGUGAAAUCCCGGGGCUCAACCUCGGAACUGCAUUCGAUACUGGUAGACUAGAGUUCGGGAGGGGUAAGCGGAAUUCCGUGUGUAGCAGUGAAAUGCGUAGACAUACGGAGGAACACCUGAGGCGAAGGCGGCUUACUGGACCGAUACUGACACUGAGACUCGAAAGCGUGGGUAGCAAACAGGAUUAGAAACCCUAGUAGUCC